This 258-nucleotide ribosomal RNA is filed under the name uncultured Streptococcaceae bacterium. Its description in RNAcentral is "partial 16S ribosomal RNA". It matches the Rfam family "Bacterial small subunit ribosomal RNA", at positions 551 to 809 of the family's 1533-position model. The record is from RNAcentral. Lineage: Bacteria; Bacillati; Bacillota; Bacilli; Lactobacillales; Streptococcaceae.
UUAUUGGGCGUAAAGCGAGCGCAGGCGGUUAGAUAAGUCUGAAGUUAAAGGCUGUGGCUUAACCAUAGUACGCUUUGGAAACUGUUUAACUUGAGUGCAGAAGGGGAGAGUGGAAUUCCAUGUGUAGCGGUGAAAUGCGUAGAUAUAUGGAGGAACACCGGUGGCGAAAGCGGCUCUCUGGUCUGUAACUGACGCUGAGGCUCGAAAGCGUGGGGAGCAAACAGGAUUAGAUACCCUGGUAGUCAAGGGCGAAUUCGC